UUGUUAGAUUUCAUGAUGUGGAAGGCACUUACAGGCAGAAUUCACGAAGCAAAGGGAAUGCCAACAACCACACUCCACUUUGCAAGUCAUCAACAAUCUGGAAAGAGACUAAGACAUGCUGUCAACCUAAGCAGAGGAUCUCAGAGAGGCGCAGAGAUGGAGCGAAACAGAAAGACUUUGGGUGUAUCUCCACACUCUUCCCUUCUCCAAAGCACUGAUUGCUGCCAGCCCAAGGAUCUAACUGAAUUAUGGGCUGACAUUAAAGAUAGAAGUCUGGGAGAUGGUUAGUAAUGCAGGAUUUGAAGACGCAUGCUAUAGCACAGUAAAUGCACAGAAAAAAGUUCUAAGGUAAACUCCGGAUCCUGAAGUAAAGGGGCAGGACUAACUGAGCAUAACUGUCAUGAACUAGGAAGACAUGAAGAGUAACACUUCCUUUUACUGACUUACCUAGUGGUGGUUUCAUCACUCUAGCAGCUUGUCUACAGUUUCCCAAGGGGAAACAAAACAAGAGUAAACACAAAUUUGGGGCUGAUCAUGCCACCUGCAGCUGUACGCUUAGCAAACUAGCUUUCCCAGGUGAGAGAGCUAGUAAAAUACACACAAUAUUUUUUCCUUACCCAUUCUUCCCACAAAGAUUUGUGUAUUGAUGGUAUCAUGGGCAUAGUGUGGGGUUGGCCGAGUAUUAUUGGAUGGGUUGCUGCUACUUUUUAGCAGUAGGUUCAAAGUUCACAAUCCCAGUGUGGCAUAAUUAUAAAUGUUUUAAGGAUGAUACUUUACUUUUCCAAAAGUACCUUUAUUCUAAGAAUCUCAGAGCGCUUUUCAGCAUGAAUUACCAACCCAUCUCUUGGUGAUAAGUAAGUGUUAUUUUUGAAACUGAGAAACUUAAACUGCUGCCUGAAGUAACUGUGAACCAUCUACUUCAUGGAGUUCUGUUUUUCCUUUACUCUUUUUCCUUGCCCUUUCUCAUUUUCCUCCAGAGACAAUUUUCACCUCAACUUCUCCCCCUCUCUGUCUGUAGCAAUCCCCUCUAUGCAACCUGAUACUGUACCCAAAUUUUAAAACUGCUCUCCCCUUCCUCCUUGGAUGCGUGCGCUGCGCAUAAGUGCUCUCCAGAUUCGGGUAAUAACAUACAUUAGUGCAUUUCAAAGAGCUGCAUUUAUGUAGAUAGGUUUGAAUUGUUAUUUCCAUUUUAUAUGUGCAUGUGUGGGUGGGCAGGAUUAGGCUGCAGAUAGGUUAACGAACACAGGUGUCUCAGGUGCCUCUGAUGUGGGGUAUUGAACUGGAGAGAUACAGUUCUGCAGAGAUGCUAAGCACUGACUGCUCCCACUACUGGGGAAGCACAGACCACUUUGGUGAAUCUGAGCUUACGCUGCCUGUUGCUGAGCAGGAUACCAGUCCGUAUACUGGCUGGCAUCUGGUGUCAGUCUAACCAAACAAGUAUUUUUCUCCAGAAGGGUGUUUUGUUCAAGAUAAAGGUAGCUGGUUUCACUCCUGGUAUUCACUGUGUGUAUCUCUGAAUCAAACUGCUGUUACAGCGGGCUGAGUAUCUAUUUCUAAACAUUAACCUUUUUAUUGUUUUACGUGAAAUAAAAAGUCGGUAAUCUUUUUGCA
RNAcentral lists this long non-coding RNA (1611 nucleotides) under Anser cygnoides (Swan goose). Its description in RNAcentral is "lncRNA (ENSACDG00005003623.1)". Lineage: Eukaryota; Metazoa; Chordata; Aves; Anseriformes; Anatidae. The record is from RNAcentral.